GUAGGGAAUCUUCCACAAUGGACGAAAGUCUGAUGGAGCAACGCCGCGUGAGUGAAGAAGGUCUUCGGAUCGUAAAACUCUGUUGUUAGAGAAGAACGUGCAUGAUAGUAACUGAUCAUGUAAUGACGGUAUCUAACCAGAAAGCCACGGCUAACUACGUGCCAGCAGCCGCGGUAAUACGUAGGUGGCAAGCGUUGUCCGGAUUUAUUGGGCGUAAAGGGAACGCAGGCGGUUUUUUAAGUCUGAUGUGAAAGCCUUCGGCUUAACCGAAGAAUAGCAUUGGAAACUGGAAGACUUGAGUGCAGAAGAGGAGAGUGGAAUUCCUAGUGUAGCGGUGAAAUGCGUAGAUAUUAGGAGGAACACCAGUGGCGAAGGCGACUUUCUGGACUGUAACUGACGCUGAGGCUCGAAAGCCAGGGGAGCGAACGGGAUUAGAUACCCCGGUAGUCC
This 450-nucleotide ribosomal RNA is filed under the name uncultured bacterium. Its description in RNAcentral is "partial 16S ribosomal RNA". It matches the Rfam family "Bacterial small subunit ribosomal RNA", at positions 354 to 796 of the family's 1533-position model. The record is from RNAcentral.